This 253-nucleotide ribosomal RNA is filed under the name uncultured bacterium. RNAcentral's name for it is "partial 16S ribosomal RNA". It matches the Rfam family "Bacterial small subunit ribosomal RNA", at positions 524 to 776 of the family's 1533-position model. The record is from RNAcentral.
CACGUAGGGUGCGAGCGUUGUCCGGAAUUAUUGGGCGUAAAGGGCUCGUAGGCGGUCCGUCACGUCGGGAGUGAAAACUCGGGGCUCAACCCCAAGCUUGCUCUCGAUACGGGCGGACUAGAGGUAGGUAGGGGAGAACGGAAUUCCUGGUGUAGCGGUGGAAUGCGCAGAUAUCAGGAGGAACACCGGUGGCGAAGGCGGUUCUCUGGGCCUUACCUGACGCUGAGGAGCGAAAGCUAGGGGAGCAAACGGG